UUGGGACCUUGCCCUGCCCCGCGGCCCGCGUCACCAUGGCAACUGCAGGCAGCCAGCACCGACGGCGGGAAAACGAGGACCGGAGCCGCGUUACAGCCUUGGCCUUCGAGCAGCCCAGGGAGAGUCUCUGCGUCCUCCAGCCCCCGCUUCCCUUCAUGUCGGAGGUCCUAAGCCCGCAGCGAAGUCCGCAAAGAGCUUUCCCCGACGCCUACGAGACCGGAAGUGCCUGGGCCCAGGUGGAGGAAGGACCCGCGUGGCCGCCUCCGCGCUCUCCCUGGGGUCCGUGCCCCUUCCGGCGUUUCUCCCGCGUCCUUCACCAUGGCAACUCGGGCGUCGGGAGCGUGGGCUGCGAGCCGAGUGGGUGGGGGAGCCGCCGGGCUCUAUCCGCCAGCCCACGAGAAGUGACGCAGGAGCACCAUUGAAGGAGAAUUAGACAAACUGGAGUCUACUGAGAUGAGGCUGUUGGGAAUGGCCCUGGUACCACAUCCUGAGCAGGGAUGGCCGAUGGAAUGGGGAGAAGACUCAGGUGGGGCUUGAGUGUGUCCUCUGAUGACUGAAGAGCCUUGGGAGCAAGCAUCCUUCCUGCUACUGUGUGUUUGCUGGUUCCAAUGAUACAUAAUUUGUGCUUUUCGUAAUUAAAGUAUUAUCCUGU
Molecule: long non-coding RNA, 652 nt
Filed under: Homo sapiens (human)
Lineage: Eukaryota; Metazoa; Chordata; Mammalia; Primates; Hominidae
Description: non-protein coding lnc-STK35-4:3
Source: RNAcentral